AUUGAACGCUGGCGGCAGGCCUAACACAUGCAAGUCGAGCGGUAGAGAGAAGCUUGCUUCUCUUGAGAGCGGCGGACGGGUGAGUAAUGCCUAGGAAUCUGCCUGGUAGUGGGGGAUAACGUUCGGAAACGGACGCUAAUACCGCAUACGUCCUACGGGAGAAAGCAGGGGACCUUCGGGCCUUGCGCUAUCAGAUGAGCCUAGGUCGGAUUAGCUAGUUGGUGGGGUAAUGGCUCACCAAGGCGACGAUCCGUAACUGGUCUGAGAGGAUGAUCAGUCACACUGGAACUGAGACACGGUCCAGACUCCUACGGGAGGCAGCAGUGGGGAAUAUUGGACAAUGGGCGAAAGCCUGAUCCAGCAAUGCCGCGUGUGUGAAGAAGGUCUUCGGAUUGUAAAGCACUUUAAGUUGGGAGGAAGGGCAGUAAAUUAAUACUUUGCUGUUUUGACGUUACCGACAGAAUAAGCACCGGCUAACUCUGUG
Molecule: ribosomal RNA, 484 nt
Filed under: uncultured bacterium
Lineage: Bacteria
Description: partial 16S ribosomal RNA
Rfam family: Bacterial small subunit ribosomal RNA
Source: RNAcentral